RNAcentral lists this ribosomal RNA (525 nucleotides) under Bifidobacterium breve. RNAcentral describes it as "bacterial SSU rRNA". It matches the Rfam family "Bacterial small subunit ribosomal RNA", at positions 161 to 696 of the family's 1533-position model. Lineage: Bacteria; Bacillati; Actinomycetota; Actinomycetes; Bifidobacteriales; Bifidobacteriaceae. The record is from RNAcentral.
UGGUAAUGCCGGAUGCUCCAUCACACUGCAUGGUGUGUUGGGAAAGCCUUUGCGGCAUGGGAUGGGGUCGCGUCCUAUCAGCUUGAUGGCGGGGUAACGGCCCACCAUGGCUUCGACGGGUAGCCGGCCUGAGAGGGCGACCGGCCACAUUGGGACUGAGAUACGGCCCAGACUCCUACGGGAGGCAGCAGUGGGGAAUAUUGCACAAUGGGCGCAAGCCUGAUGCAGCGACGCCGCGUGAGGGAUGGAGGCCUUCGGGUUGUAAACCUCUUUUGUUAGGGAGCAAGGCAUUUUGUGUUGAGUGUACCUUUCGAAUAAGCACCGGCUAACUACGUGCCAGCAGCCGCGGUAAUACGUAGGGUGCAAGCGUUAUCCGGAAUUAUUGGGCGUAAAGGGCUCGUAGGCGGUUCGUCGCGUCCGGUGUGAAAGUCCAUCGCUUAACGGUGGAUCCGCGCCGGGUACGGGCGGGCUUGAGUGCGGUAGGGGAGACUGGAAUUCCCGGUGUAACGGUGGAAUGUGUAGAUA